AGGGAUUUAACUCAGUGGUAGAGAAUUUGCCAAGCAUGCAUAAGGCCCUGGGUUCAAUUCCCAGCAUGACUA
Molecule: transfer RNA, 72 nt
Filed under: Cavia porcellus (domestic guinea pig)
Lineage: Eukaryota; Metazoa; Chordata; Mammalia; Rodentia; Caviidae
Rfam family: tRNA
About the family: Transfer RNA (tRNA) molecules are approximately 80 nucleotides in length. Their secondary structure includes four short double-helical elements and three loops (D, anti-codon, and T loops). Further hydrogen bonds mediate the characteristic L-shaped molecular structure. tRNAs have two regions of fundamental functional importance: the anti-codon, which is responsible for specific mRNA codon recognition, and the 3' end, to which the tRNAs corresponding amino acid is attached (by aminoacyl-tRNA synthetases). tRNAs cope with the degeneracy of the genetic code in two manners: having more than one tRNA (with a specific anti-codon) for a particular amino acid; and 'wobble' base-pairing, i.e. permitting non-standard base-pairing at the 3rd anti-codon position.
Source: Rfam by way of RNAcentral